CGACGGUUUUGUCCUUCGGGAGGAAGAGCGGCGUACGGGUGCGGACACGUGUGCACCUGCCUUUAUCUGGGGGAUAGCCUUUCGAAAGGAAGAUUAAUACCCCAUAACAUAUGAUACGGCAUCGUAUUAUAUUGAAAACUCCGGUGGAUAGAGAUGGGCACGCGCAAGAUUAGAUAGUUGGUGAGGUAACGGCUCACCAAGUCAGUGAUCUUUAGGGGGCCUGAGAGGGUGAUCCCCCACACUGGUACUGAGACACGGACCAGACUCCUACGGGAGGCAGCAGUGAGGAAUAUUGGACAAUGGGUGAGAGCCUGAUCCAGCCAUCCCGCGUGAAGGACUAAGGCCCUAUGGGUUGUAAACUUCUUUUAUACUGGGAAAACCUACUUACGUGUAAGUAGCUGAGGACAGUAUGAUAAGCACCGGCUAACUCG
This 431-nucleotide ribosomal RNA is filed under the name Epilithonimonas ginsengisoli. Its description in RNAcentral is "bacterial SSU rRNA". It matches the Rfam family "Bacterial small subunit ribosomal RNA", at positions 72 to 504 of the family's 1533-position model. The record is from RNAcentral. Lineage: Bacteria; Pseudomonadati; Bacteroidota; Flavobacteriia; Flavobacteriales; Weeksellaceae.